UUCAUUGGGUGUUUUUUUCAAAAUUGGUCUAAUUAAAUCAUGCCUUAGUCGUUCUCCAGGGACAGCUCAAGGGAUGCCCCACUCAAGGUUUCCUCAUCUUUUCAAAUAUAAUUCAUGGGUCAUUUUGUUUGGAAACUCCUUUCUCCUAAAUCCCACAGGCCAUCCCAUUUUAUUUUCCUUCUUUUCAAAUAGAAUUCAUGGGUCAUUUUGUUUGGAAACCCCUUUCUCCUAAAUCCCACAGGCCAUCCCAUUUUAUUUUCCUUCUUCCAUCAAAACCCCUUCAACCCCACAUCGAACCCUCUUCUCUACUAAAAAUCCCUA
Molecule: long non-coding RNA, 321 nt
Filed under: Elaeis guineensis (African oil palm)
Lineage: Eukaryota; Viridiplantae; Streptophyta; Magnoliopsida; Arecales; Arecaceae
Description: long non-coding RNA (EGUI_LNC014476)
Source: RNAcentral